This 269-nucleotide ribosomal RNA is filed under the name uncultured Planctomycetales bacterium. Its description in RNAcentral is "partial 16S ribosomal RNA". It matches the Rfam family "Bacterial small subunit ribosomal RNA", at positions 565 to 832 of the family's 1533-position model. Lineage: Bacteria; Pseudomonadati; Planctomycetota; Planctomycetia; Planctomycetales. The record is from RNAcentral.
GAGCACGUAGGUGGGUUUGUAAGUCAGAUGUGAAAGCCUUCUGUUCAACGGAAGAAUUGCAUCUGAAACUGCGAGUCUUGAGUGUAGGAGGGGAGAAUGGAACUUCUGGUGGGGCGGUGAAAUGCGUAGAUAUCAGAAGGAACUCCGGCGGCGAAAGCGAUUCUCUGGCCUAUUACUGACACUCAGUGUGCGAAAGCUAGGGGAGCAAACGGGAUUAGAUACCCCGGUAGUCCUAGCCGUAAACGAUGGGCACUAAGUAGAGGGGUUUU